CUCAUCAAGAGUGGCUGAGGGAAUAGGCCCUGUGACGCCCGGCAACCUGCGCAAAGCAACGGUGCUAAAUCCUACAGGUAUUACCUGAAAGAUGAGG
This 97-nucleotide non-coding RNA is filed under the name bovine gut metagenome. Its description in RNAcentral is "SAM riboswitch (S box leader)". It matches the Rfam family "SAM riboswitch aptamer (S box leader)". Rfam says of the family: The SAM riboswitch is found upstream of a number of genes which code for proteins involved in methionine or cysteine biosynthesis in Gram-positive bacteria. The SAM riboswitch acts at the level of transcription termination control. The record is from RNAcentral.